RNAcentral lists this ribosomal RNA (514 nucleotides) under uncultured bacterium. RNAcentral describes it as "partial 16S ribosomal RNA". It matches the Rfam family "Bacterial small subunit ribosomal RNA", at positions 28 to 523 of the family's 1533-position model. The record is from RNAcentral.
GAUGAACGCUGGCGGCGUGCCUAAUACAUGCAAGUCGAGCGAACAGAUGAGAAGCUUGCUUCUCUGAUGUUAGCGGCGGACGGGUGAGUAACACGUGGGUAACCUACCUAUAAGACUGGGAUAACUCCGGGAAACCGGGGCUAAUACCGGAUAAUAUUUUGAACCGCAUGGUUCAAUAGUGAAAGACGGUUUCGGCUGUCACUUAUAGAUGGACCCGCGCCGUACUAGCUAGUUGGUAAGGUAACGGCUUACCAAGGCGACGAUACGUAGCCGACCUGGGAGGGUGAUCGGCCACACUGGAACUGAGACACGGUCCAGACUCCUACGGGAGGCAGCAGUAGGGAAUCUUCCGCAAUGGGCGAAAGCCUGACGGAGCAAUGCCGCGUGAGUGAAGAAGGCCUUCGGGUCGUAAAACUCUGUUAUAAGAGAAGAACAAAUUGUAGAGUAACUGCUACAGUCUUGACGGUAUCUUAUCAGAAAGCCACGGCUAACUACGUGCCAGCCGCCGCAGUAA